Phlebotomus papatasi is the source of this 46-nucleotide non-coding RNA. The record is from Rfam. NCBI's taxonomy places the organism in Eukaryota, Metazoa, Arthropoda, Insecta, Diptera, Psychodidae.
UUCCCGGCUCUUUUCAGAGCCACUCACUAUCGAUUUUCCCUCCUUU